GAUGAACGCUAGCGGCAGGCCUAACACAUGCAAGUCGAGGGGUAGCAGGAUUAAGCUUGCUUAAUUGCUGACGACCGGCGCACGGGUGCGUAACGCGUAUGCAACCUACCUUAUACUGGGGUAUAGCCCGGAGAAAUUCGGAUUAAUCCCCCAUAGUACUAAUGAAUCGCGUGGUUUAUUAGUUAAAGCAUUGCGGUAUAAGAUGGGCAUGCGUCCUAUUAGCUAGAUGGUGAGGUAACGGCUCACCAUGGCUACGAUAGGUAGGGGGCCUGAGAGGGUAGUCCCCCACACUGGUACUGAGACACGGACCAGACUCCUACGGGAGGCAGCAGUGAGGAAUAUUGGUCAAUGGGCGCAAGCCUGAACCAGCCAUGCCGCGUGCAGGAAGAAUGCCCUAUGGGUUGUAAACUACUUUUAUUUGGGAAUAAACCUCUUUACGUGUAGAGAGCUGAAGGUACCAAAUGAAUAAGCACCGGCUAACUCCGUGCCAGCAGCCGCCGUAA
RNAcentral lists this ribosomal RNA (503 nucleotides) under uncultured bacterium. RNAcentral's name for it is "partial 16S ribosomal RNA". It matches the Rfam family "Bacterial small subunit ribosomal RNA", at positions 28 to 523 of the family's 1533-position model. The record is from RNAcentral.